Molecule: ribosomal RNA, 465 nt
Filed under: uncultured bacterium
Lineage: Bacteria
Description: partial 16S ribosomal RNA
Rfam family: Bacterial small subunit ribosomal RNA
Source: RNAcentral
GACGAACGCUGGCGGCGGGCUUAACACAUGCAAGUCGAACGGAAAGGCCCCUUUGGGGGUACUCGAGUGGCGAACGGGUGAGUAACACGUGAGUAACCUGCCCUUGACUUCGGUAUAACUUCAGGAAACUGGGGCUAAUACCGGAUAGGAAUCCUUGCUGCAUGGUGGGGGUUGGAAAGCUUCGGCGGUUUUGGAUGGACUCGCGGCUUAUCAGCUUGUUGGUGGGGUAGUGGCUUACCAAGGCUUUGACGGGUAGCCGGCCUGAGAGGGCGACCGGCCACAUUGGGACUGAGAUACGGCCCAGACUCCUACGGGAGGCAGCAGUGGGGAAUAUUGCACAAUGGGCGGAAGCCUGAUGCAGCAACGCCGCGUGCGGGAUGACGGCCUUCGGGUUGUAAACCGCUUUCAGCAGGGGCGAAGCUUGUGGUGACGGUACCUGCAGAAGAAGCACCGGCUAACUACGUG